GAUGAACGCUGGCGGCGUGCUUAACACAUGCAAGUCGAACGGGAUCCCAGGAGCUUGCUCCUGGGUGAGAGUGGCGAACGGGUGAGUAAUGCGUGACCGACCUGCCCCAUACACCGGAAUAGCUCCUGGAAACGGGUGGUAAUGCCGGAUGCUCCAGUUGGAUGCAUGUCCUUCUGGGAAAGAUUCUAUCGGUAUGGGAUGGGGUCGCGUCCUAUCAGCUUGAUGGCGGGGUAACGGCCCACCAUGGCUUCGACGGGUAGCCGGCCUGAGAGGGCGACCGGCCACAUUGGGACUGAGAUACGGCCCAGACUCCUGCGGGAGGCAGCAGUGGGGAAUAUUGCACAAUGGGCGCAAGCCUGAUGCAGCGACGCCGCGUGCGGGAUGACGGCCUUCGGGUUGUAAACCGCUUUUGACUGGGAGCAAGCCCUUCGGG
This 433-nucleotide ribosomal RNA is filed under the name uncultured bacterium. RNAcentral describes it as "bacterial SSU rRNA". It matches the Rfam family "Bacterial small subunit ribosomal RNA", at positions 28 to 459 of the family's 1533-position model. The record is from RNAcentral.